RNAcentral lists this long non-coding RNA (427 nucleotides) under Brassica napus (rape). Its description in RNAcentral is "long non-coding RNA (BNAP_LNC020500)". The record is from RNAcentral. Lineage: Eukaryota; Viridiplantae; Streptophyta; Magnoliopsida; Brassicales; Brassicaceae.
CCAAACGUAACCAAAAUGUUGAUGUCAAACUUUUAAUACACGAGAAAAAAAUCUAAUACUAAGAGGUGAAAUUAAAGACAACAAAAGUUGAAAAUGUUUGUGUGGAGAUGCUGAGAUGGAUCUGACAUAGCUUCCACUUCAAACCAGAGAGGAGCAUGGACUGAAGAGGAGUGGAGAGGAGCCAUGACGAUGGAAGAUCAGAGAGAAAAUUGAACUGUGGAUGAGCAGAGAGGAGACUGGACUGUGACCGCUAAAGAGACAGCCGGAGAUGAGCCUGGGCUACCACUGGAGAGGAGGAGACCACCAAGGAGAUGACCGGACAGAAGACCACACCUUACACAACGGGAGCAUAAGGAGGUGAUGGAGAUCGCAGAGGAGAUAUAAUAGAUGAAGAGAUUAACAGAUCUGGAGAAGAAAUAAGAGAUAG